Molecule: ribosomal RNA, 305 nt
Filed under: uncultured bacterium
Lineage: Bacteria
Description: bacterial SSU rRNA
Rfam family: Bacterial small subunit ribosomal RNA
Source: RNAcentral
GCCUACGGGGCGCAGCAGUAGGGAAUUUUCGUCAAUGGGCGCAAGCCUGAACGAGCAAUGCCGCGUGAACGAGGAAGGUCUUCGGAUCGUAAAGUUCUGUUGAAGGGGAAAAAGAGCGGAGAGAGGGAAUGCUUUCUGAUUGAUAUUACCCUUCGAGGAAGUCACGGCUAACUACGUGCCAGCAGCCGCGGUAAUACGUAGGUGGCGAGCGUUAUCCGGAAUGAUUGGGCGUAAAGGGUGCGUAGGCGGCCUGCUAAGUCUGGAGUGAAAGGUACCGGCUCAACCGGUACAGGCUCUGGAAACUG